RNAcentral lists this ribosomal RNA (545 nucleotides) under uncultured bacterium. Its description in RNAcentral is "bacterial SSU rRNA". It matches the Rfam family "Bacterial small subunit ribosomal RNA", at positions 777 to 1319 of the family's 1533-position model. The record is from RNAcentral.
AAUAGAUACCCUGGUAGUCCACCCCGUAAACGUUGGGAACUAGUUGUGGGGACCAUUCCACGGUUUCCGUGACGCAGCUAACGCAUUAAGUUCCCCGCCUGGGGAGUACGGCCGCAAGGCUAAGACUCAAAGGAAUUGACGGGGACCCGCACAAGCGGCGGAGCAUGCGGAUUAAUUCGAUGCAACGCGAAGAACCUUACCAAGGCUUGACAUAUACGAGAACGGGCCAGAAAUGGUCAACUCUUUGGACACUCGUAAACAGGUGGCGCAUGGUUGUCGUCAGCUCGUGUCGUGAGAUGUUGGGUUAAGUCCCGCAACGAGCGCAACCCUCGUUCUAUGUUGCCAGCACGUAAUGGUGGGAACUCAUGGGAUACUGCCGGGGUCAACUCGGAGGAAGGUGGGGAUGACGUCAAAUCAUCAUGCCCCUUAUGUCUUGGGCUUCACGCAUGCUACAAUGGCCGGUACAAAGGGCUGCAAAUCCGUAAAGGUGGAGCGAAUCCCAAAAAGCCGGUCCCAGUUCGGAUUGAGGUCUGCAACUCGACCUC